This is a long non-coding RNA of Penaeus indicus, 403 nucleotides long. RefSeq lists it as uncharacterized. The transcript is spliced from 3 exons. The record is from RefSeq and is a predicted model, not a curated record. NCBI's taxonomy places the organism in Eukaryota, Metazoa, Arthropoda, Malacostraca, Decapoda, Penaeidae.
AAUUUCAAGAUAACAGUUUGGUCUUCCUCGCGAAUAUAUAAACAACAAUACUGAAAACCCGCAUGCUAAAAAUAUGAAGAACAUAUCGAUGAAAAAAUCCAAGAGAUUUAUAACUCUCCUGUUAAUGGCUGCCUCUGUCUGUCUGCUUUUUUGGAGGAGAAGACAAUCUAUCAACCAAGUGAAGACUUUAUCCUUGAAAUCCUCCGGCCUCGCUCGACCUCCCUUGACCUCUGAUCUGGCCUCCGUACGGGUCAAUCCAGGUCCUAUUAAGGUCGAUUUUGCCUCCACGAUCGACCUGGCUUCGCGCUCUGUCGAUGUUCCUCCCCCUCUUCCUCUUCUUCCUCCUCUCCCUCCUUCUCCUCCUUCUUCUCCUCUUCCUCCUCCUCUUCCUCCUUCUCCUCUU